UAUAUUUGCCGACCGGUAGCUGCAACUGCACUAACCAUACAUAAAAAUUAUUAAAUAAAUUAAUGUUAGCAUG
Molecule: non-coding RNA, 73 nt
Organism: Lutibacter agarilyticus
Lineage: Bacteria; Pseudomonadati; Bacteroidota; Flavobacteriia; Flavobacteriales; Flavobacteriaceae
Source: Rfam